UUUGAGCAGAAGGUACAGAGCUUUCCCAUAUACCCUGUGACCCUCACAUACAUCCCUUCUCCAUUAUCAACAUUCCUCCUCAUCCCGCCCCAGGAUGGUACCGUCUUUACAACCAAUGAACCUACACUGCCAUAUCAUUAUCACCUCAAGUCAUAACUUUACAUUAGGGUUCACUCUUAGUGUCUUAUAUUCUAUGGAUUUGAAUAAAUGUAUAAUGUCAGGUACUCACCUUUAAAGUAUCAAACAGGGUGUUUUUGCUGCCUUCAAAAUUCUUCAUCUCGCCAUCUCCUCUAACCCCUGGCCACCAAUGAUAUUUUUACUGUAGCCAUAGUUUUACCUUUUCCAGAACAUCGUAUAGUUGGAAUCAUGCAGUUUGUGGCCUUUUCAGAUUGGUUUAUUUUGCCUAAGUAAUUUGCAUUUAAGUUUCCUCCAUGUCUAGUCAUUGCUUCAUACCUCAUAGUGUAUACUUUUUAAGUUUUAUUUUUUAUUUUAUACUGGGGCAUAGUUGAUUUACUAAUGUUGUGUUAGCCUCAGAUGUACAGCAAAGUGAUUCACUUAUAUAUAUACAGAUAUCUUUCUUUUUUUUUUUUUUAGAUCCUUUUCCCACAUAGGUUAUUACAGAAUACUCAGUAGAGUUCUCUGUAGGUCCUAGUCAUAUAGGAUAAUUUUAAGUCAAAUAUUGUUGUCUCAGAAAGGGCUUGUAUACACCUAUACUUGUAUAAAUCAAAAAACAUAAGUCAGUCAGGUAAGUGAAAGCAAAAUUUCCCCAAUGAUUGAACAUUAACUUUUUUUUUUUUUCUCACUCAAUCUUCCAGUUGAGGAAUUUCCUUAUAUGAAAUUGGAUUUGGUCCCAAAAGUAAGAAAUGCACCGAUGGCUGCAGUCCAAACAUUCUACACAUUCCAAGUAGAAAGAAGCAAGAAGGAGGUGAUUUCUACUCGUCUAUGUCUCACUGUCCAAACAAAGUCACAUGGCUGUGUUAAUUACCAGGGAAUCUGAGAAGGCAAGGACUUCAGUAAAGGAAAGGCUAGUCGUGUCCGACUCUUUGCAACCCCAUGGACGGCAGCCCACCAGGCUCCCCCGUUCC
This is a long non-coding RNA of Bubalus bubalis (water buffalo), 1085 nucleotides long. RefSeq lists it as uncharacterized. The transcript has 3 exons. NCBI's taxonomy places the organism in Eukaryota, Metazoa, Chordata, Mammalia, Artiodactyla, Bovidae. The record is from RefSeq and is a predicted model, not a curated record.